Molecule: ribosomal RNA, 253 nt
Filed under: uncultured bacterium
Lineage: Bacteria
Description: partial 16S ribosomal RNA
Rfam family: Bacterial small subunit ribosomal RNA
Source: RNAcentral
GACGAACCGUACGAACGUUAUUCGGAAUCACUGGGCUUAAAGGGUGCGUAGGCGGUGCGGAAAGUUGGGUGUGAAAUCCCUCGGCUCAACCGAGGAAUUGCGCCCAAAACUACCGUGCUAGAGGGAGACAGAGGUGAGUGGAACUUAGGGUGGAGCGGUGAAAUGCGUUGAUAUCCUAAGGAACACCAGUGGCGAAAGCGACUCACUGGGUCUCUUCUGACGCUGAGGCACGAAAGCUAGGGGAGCAAACGGG